This 465-nucleotide RNase P RNA is filed under the name Candidatus Falkowbacteria bacterium RIFOXYA2_FULL_38_12. RNAcentral's name for it is "RNase P RNA component class A". It matches the Rfam family "Bacterial RNase P class A". From Rfam's summary of the family: Ribonuclease P (RNase P) is a ubiquitous endoribonuclease, found in archaea, bacteria and eukarya as well as chloroplasts and mitochondria. Its best characterised activity is the generation of mature 5'-ends of tRNAs by cleaving the 5'-leader elements of precursor-tRNAs. Lineage: Bacteria; Candidatus Falkowiibacteriota. RNAcentral also lists the same sequence under 2 other names. The record is from RNAcentral.
UUUGAUUAGCGGGUAGCUACCCUGCUCCCCUGAAGGGGGUGGGGAGGAAAGUCCGGACACCGAAGCGUAUUUUUCGCUUCAGAGAUAGUCGCUAACAGCGACGGGGAAUAAGGUAUUCUAUUUAUGUUAUUUUUUCGUUAAAAGCGGAGAAGUAGCAAAAAGAAAAGUAUUGAAGCCCACGGAGAGUGCAACAGAAAAUACACCACCUCAAUCUUUAAGGGAUGAAUAUUUCGCCUUAUUCGCGGGGGCUUGCCCCGUGAAGCUUUAGCGAAGUGGGGUAAGGUUGAAAUCGUGAGGUAAGAGCUCACGCGGGACAGCCUGGUGACAGGCGUCGUGGAAAACACCUAUCCGGUGCAAGGUCAGUUUCGACCGCUUGAGGUCCAGAGCAAUUUGGAUCCUAGAUAGAUGGCUGCCGUGGCAUAUUUAUAUGCCAUACAGAAUCCGGCUUAUAGCUAGUUGAAUAAA